AAUUAGCCCCGAGUGAAGUGAAAAUCCUUGUUAUGGUGAGAUUGCCGCGCAAGCUCGCAAUGGCAAGAUUGCAACGAAAAGCGGGAGCAGAG
Molecule: small RNA, 92 nt
Filed under: Flavobacterium fluvii
Lineage: Bacteria; Pseudomonadati; Bacteroidota; Flavobacteriia; Flavobacteriales; Flavobacteriaceae
Description: Flavobacterium sp. H7 Flavo-1 RNA
Rfam family: Flavo-1 RNA
Source: Rfam by way of RNAcentral